CCAAGAAGGACAGCCAGAGCAGGGGUGAGGACUGCGAGAAACAGAAAGGGCGGGAGACUGUGUGUGUGAGGGAGAGAAAUAGAGAGAAAGGGAGGGGGUGGAAGAGGCAGUGUGAUAGAGGGAGAGAGAGAAAGGGAGAGAGAUAGAGGGAGGGAGUUUUUGAGUACAAGUGCUUUCUCGUCCUCUUCCUAGAGAAGAUGAGGGCUCCCUGACGUUGUGUCAUAUCGCAGGUGAAAAGAUGGGAAAAGUUUGAGACAUCUUAGUCAUGGAUGAACACUUCCCACAGAUACCUGGAGCAGGGAAACCUGCACAGCACAUCCCAGUCUGACAGGCAGAGGAGAGAGACAACUGUUGGUGGACGACAGCUGGAGGGCAGAUACAGAGCACCAGAGCGCUGACACAGUGGGGAAUGGGAACCUCUUUGAGUGACAAGAUAAAGGGGAUGAUCGAACUACAAGGUUCACAGCUUUAAAUCCUGCUCAUACGCGCGUGACUGAGGUGUGAUCUACGCUAACCAUGGCUGUGACAGGAGUCAUCAGAGGAACACACUGGGCUGACACAUACACACUCAACGCACCUCACCGACACACCAAGGUCAAAACACAGAUCACACUUUGCUCAACUCUGGGCUUUGCAUCCUCAAGAUGUUAACUUCAGUGCAGCAGUGCUGUUUGGGGCCUCCAUCAUGGACAACGUGACACCCGGCAUCCCUCCAGAGGGCUUGGACCAGGGGGGAUUAGACCAGGGGGGCUUAGACCAGG
Osmerus eperlanus (European smelt) is the source of this 761-nucleotide long non-coding RNA. RefSeq lists it as uncharacterized. The record is from RefSeq and is a predicted model, not a curated record. Lineage: Eukaryota; Metazoa; Chordata; Actinopteri; Osmeriformes; Osmeridae. The transcript is spliced from 3 exons.